RNAcentral lists this ribosomal RNA (2916 nucleotides) under Campylobacter jejuni subsp. jejuni CG8421. RNAcentral's name for it is "bacterial LSU rRNA". It matches the Rfam family "Bacterial large subunit ribosomal RNA". The record is from RNAcentral. Lineage: Bacteria; Pseudomonadati; Campylobacterota; Epsilonproteobacteria; Campylobacterales; Campylobacteraceae.
AGCUACUAAGAGCGAAUGGUGGAUGCCUUGACUGGUAAAGGCGAUGAAGGACGUACUAGACUGCGAUAAGCUACGGGGAGCUGUCAAGAAGCUUUGAUCCGUAGAUUUCCGAAUGGGGCAACCCAAUGUAUAGAGAUAUACAUUACCUAUAUAGGAGCGAACGAGGGGAAUUGAAACAUCUUAGUACCCUCAGGAAAAGAAAUCAAUAGAGAUUGCGUCAGUAGCGGCGAGCGAAAGCGCAAGAGGGCAAACCCAGUGCUUGCACUGGGGGUUGUAGGACUGCAAUGUGCAAGAGGUAAGUUUAGCAGAACAUUCUGGAAAGUAUAACCAUAGAGGGUGAUAGUCCCGUAUGCGAAAAACAAACCUUAGCUAGCAGUAUCCUGAGUAGGGCGGGACACGAGGAAUCCUGUCUGAAUCCGGGUCGACCACGAUCCAACCCUAAAUACUAAUACCAGAUCGAUAGUGCACAAGUACCGUGAGGGAAAGGUGAAAAGAACUGAGGUGAUCAGAGUGAAAUAGAACCUGAAACCAUUUGCUUACAAUCAUUCAGAGCCCUAUGUAGCAAUACAGGGUGAUGGACUGCCUUUUGCAUAAUGAGCCUGCGAGUUGUGGUGUCUGGCAAGGUUAAGCAAACGCGAAGCCGUAGCGAAAGCGAGUCUGAAUAGGGCGCUUAGUCAGAUGCUGCAGACCCGAAACGAAGUGAUCUAUCCAUGAGCAAGUUGAAGCUAGUGUAAGAACUAGUGGAGGACUGAACCCAUAGGCGUUGAAAAGCCCCGGGAUGACUUGUGGAUAGGGGUGAAAGGCCAAUCAAACUUCGUGAUAGCUGGUUCUCUCCGAAAUAUAUUUAGGUAUAGCGUUGUGUCGUAAUAUAAGGGGGUAGAGCACUGAAUGGGCUAGGGCAUACACCAAUGUACCAAACCCUAUCAAACUCCGAAUACCUUAUAUGUAAUCACAGCAGUCAGGCGGCGAGUGAUAAAAUCCGUCGUCAAGAGGGAAACAACCCAGACUACCAGCUAAGGUCCCUAAAUCUUACUUAAGUGGAAAACGAUGUGAAGUUACUUAAACAACCAGGAGGUUGGCUUAGAAGCAGCCAUCCUUUAAAGAAAGCGUAAUAGCUCACUGGUCUAGUGAUUUUGCGCGGAAAAUAUAACGGGGCUAAAGUAAGUACCGAAGCUGUAGACUUGCAAUUUAUUGCAAGUGGUAGGAGAGCGUUCUAUUUGCGUCGAAGGUAUACCGGUAAGGAGUGCUGGAGCGAAUAGAAGUGAGCAUGCAGGCAUGAGUAGCGAUAAUUAAUGUGAGAAUCAUUAACGCCGUAAACCCAAGGUUUCCUACGCGAUGCUCGUCAUCGUAGGGUUAGUCGGGUCCUAAGUCGAGUCCGAAAGGGGUAGACGAUGGCAAAUUGGUUAAUAUUCCAAUACCAACAUUAGUGUGCGAUGGAAGGACGCUUAGGGCUAAGGGGGCUAGCGGAUGGAAGUGCUAGUCUAAGGUCGUAGGAGGUUAUACAGGCAAAUCCGUAUAACAAUACUCCGAGAACUGAAAGGCUUUUUGAAGUCUUCGGAUGGAUAGAAGAACCCCUGAUGCCGUCGAGCCAAGAAAAGUUUCUAAGUUUAGCUAAUGUUGCCCGUACCGUAAACCGACACAGGUGGGUGGGAUGAGUAUUCUAAGGCGCGUGGAAGAACUCUCUUUAAGGAACUCUGCAAAAUAGCACCGUAUCUUCGGUAUAAGGUGUGGUUAGCUUUGUAUUAGGAUUUACUCCGAAAGCAAGGAAACUUACAACAAAGAGUCCCUCCCGACUGUUUACCAAAAACACAGCACUCUGCUAACUCGUAAGAGGAUGUAUAGGGUGUGACGCCUGCCCGGUGCUCGAAGGUUAAUUGAUGGGGUUAGCAUUAGCGAAGCUCUUGAUCGAAGCCCGAGUAAACGGCGGCCGUAACUAUAACGGUCCUAAGGUAGCGAAAUUCCUUGUCGGUUAAAUACCGACCUGCAUGAAUGGCGUAACGAGAUGGGAGCUGUCUCAAAGAGGGAUCCAGUGAAAUUGUAGUGGAGGUGAAAAUUCCUCCUACCCGCGGCAAGACGGAAAGACCCCGUGGACCUUUACUACAGCUUGACACUGCUACUUGGAUAAGAAUGUGCAGGAUAGGUGGGAGGCUUUGAGUAUAUGACGCCAGUUGUAUAUGAGCCAUUGUUGAGAUACCACUCUUUCUUAUUUGGGUAGCUAACCAGCUUGAGUUAUCCUCAAGUGGGACAAUGUCUGGUGGGUAGUUUGACUGGGGCGGUCGCCUCCCAAAUAAUAACGGAGGCUUACAAAGGUUGGCUCAGAACGGUUGGAAAUCGUUCGUAGAGUAUAAAGGUAUAAGCCAGCUUAACUGCAAGACAUACAAGUCAAGCAGAGACGAAAGUCGGUCUUAGUGAUCCGGUGGUUCUGUGUGGAAGGGCCAUCGCUCAAAGGAUAAAAGGUACCCCGGGGAUAACAGGCUGAUCUCCCCCAAGAGCUCACAUCGACGGGGAGGUUUGGCACCUCGAUGUCGGCUCAUCGCAUCCUGGGGCUGGAGCAGGUCCCAAGGGUAUGGCUGUUCGCCAUUUAAAGCGGUACGCGAGCUGGGUUCAGAACGUCGUGAGACAGUUCGGUCCCUAUCUGCCGUGGGCGUAAGAAGAUUGAAGAGAUUUGACCCUAGUACGAGAGGACCGGGUUGAACAAACCACUGGUGUAGCUGUUGUUCUGCCAAGAGCAUCGCAGCGUAGCUAAGUUUGGAAAGGAUAAACGCUGAAAGCAUCUAAGCGUGAAGCCAACUCUAAGAUGAAUCUUCUCUAAGCUCUCUAGAAGACUACUAGUUUGAUAGGCUGGGUGUGUAAUGGAUGAAAGUCCUUUAGCUGACCAGUACUAAUAGAGCGUUUGGCUUAUCUUUAAUAAAGCAU